Molecule: small RNA, 726 nt
Filed under: Pan troglodytes (chimpanzee)
Lineage: Eukaryota; Metazoa; Chordata; Mammalia; Primates; Hominidae
Description: retained intron
Source: RNAcentral
UGUGAACUUUGAUCUCCCUGUAAAACAAGGAGAGGAGCCGGACUAUGAGACCUACCUCCACCGCAUAGGGCGGACGGGGCGCUUUGGGAAAAAAGGCCUUGCCUUCAACAUGAUUGAAGUGGAUGAGCUGCCCUCGCUCAUGAAAAUCCAGGACCACUUUAGAAAGUCCUAAAUUCUGAAGUCCGCGACCUUUCCUCCAGCCCCCCAUCUAAACAAGGCAGGCUCUGAUGAUGGCCUGCUGGAACUCUGGACUGGCAGAUUUCUCUGAUGGAAACUCAAAAGGUCCCAUGGUUCAAAUUGUCCUGUGCCCCAAAGCCCAUGGAUGUGGCUGGGGAGCAGGGGAGAAGGAACACCUUCCAGGACAGUGGUACUUAACCUUGUAGAAAGCAAUAAGCGCUGUCCCCAGGGAAGUGCACACAGGCACACACAUGCCAUUUGGAAUAUAAUUUUCACAGGUUGGCAGACUGAGUGUAGCACAUCCACCGACCUUUCAGGGAAGUAGGUUAAGUGCCCCUGUGUUAGGCUAACUGGGGAGGACAGGGUGAGGAAGAUGCGUUAAGGCCACUGUCGCUAUGGUGAGCUCCUAAGGCCCUGGUCUCAGGAAGUGACUGCAGUAGAAGAGCCUCAGUCCCUCCCAGGCUCUCCUCACUUCCACUCUGGCCUUCUCUGCCCCAGCAUAUCUAGAUACAUACAUUCCAUGGUCUGGUGCAUUUGAUGCUGUUUGAG